AGGGGGAGCACUGGAUCUUGGGCUGUGUCCCUGGGCGCCCUGGGCUGUGGGGCCUGUGCUGCUGGAAUCACGCUCCUGGGGCUGUGCAGCCCCCU
Molecule: microRNA precursor, 95 nt
Filed under: Canis lupus familiaris (dog)
Lineage: Eukaryota; Metazoa; Chordata; Mammalia; Carnivora; Canidae
Also listed under: 1 other name
Description: mir-8799 microRNA precursor family
Rfam family: mir-8799 microRNA precursor family
Source: Rfam by way of RNAcentral